GACGAACGCUGGCGGCGUGCCUAAUACAUGCAAGUUGAGCGAUGAAGCUUGGUGCUUGCACCAAUUUGAAGAGCAGCGAACGGGUGAGUAACGCGUGGGGAAUCUGCCUUUGAGCGGGGGACAACAUUUGGAAACGAAUGCUAAUACCGCAUAACAACUUUAAACAUAAGUUUUAAGUUUGAAAGAUGCAAUUGCAUCACUCAAAGAUGAUCCCGCGUUGUAUUAGCUAGUUGGUGAGGUAAAGGCUCACCAGGGCGAUGAUACAUAGCCGACCUGAGAGGGUGAUCGGCCACAUUGGGACUGAGACACGGCCCAAACUCCUACGGGAGGCAGCAGUAGGGAAUCUUCGGCAAUGGACGAAAGUCUGACCGAGCAACGCCGCGUGAGUGAAGAAGGUUUUCGGAUCGUAAAACUCUGUUGGUAGAGAAGAACGUUGGUGAGAGUGGAAAGCUCAUCAAGUGACGGUAACUACCCAGAAAGGGACGGCUAACUACGUG
RNAcentral lists this ribosomal RNA (497 nucleotides) under uncultured bacterium. RNAcentral's name for it is "partial 16S ribosomal RNA". It matches the Rfam family "Bacterial small subunit ribosomal RNA", at positions 28 to 507 of the family's 1533-position model. The record is from RNAcentral.